This 124-nucleotide small nucleolar RNA is filed under the name Periophthalmus magnuspinnatus. Lineage: Eukaryota; Metazoa; Chordata; Actinopteri; Gobiiformes; Gobiidae. The record is from RNAcentral.
CUCUGGUGAUGAUCCGAUGACGAGUCGGAAGGGCCCCUGCCUCUGUGUGGGGCGUCACGUUCUGUGGUGCCUCUGCAGAGAGCGAGGCCCAGCCUGAAGACCCUGAGGCAUUUGUCUGAGGAGG